UACGUAGGGGGCAAGCGUUGUCCGGAAUUACUGGGCGUAAAGCGCGUGUAGGCGGGACGGCAAGUCGGACGUGAAAGGCUGGGGCUCAACCCCAGAUCGCCGUUCGAAACGGUCGUUCUUGAGGGUCGAAGAGGAGAGUGGAAUUCCUGGUGUAGCGGUGAAAUGCGUAGAGAUCAGGAGGAACACCCAUGGCGAAGGCAGCUCUCUGGUCGACCUCUGACGCUGAGACGCGAAAGCGUGGGGAGCGAACGGG
This 253-nucleotide ribosomal RNA is filed under the name uncultured bacterium. Its description in RNAcentral is "partial 16S ribosomal RNA". It matches the Rfam family "Bacterial small subunit ribosomal RNA", at positions 524 to 776 of the family's 1533-position model. The record is from RNAcentral.